RNAcentral lists this transfer RNA (71 nucleotides) under Rhipicephalus microplus (southern cattle tick). RNAcentral describes it as "tRNA-Ser". It matches the Rfam family "tRNA". From Rfam's summary of the family: Transfer RNA (tRNA) molecules are approximately 80 nucleotides in length. Their secondary structure includes four short double-helical elements and three loops (D, anti-codon, and T loops). Lineage: Eukaryota; Metazoa; Arthropoda; Arachnida; Ixodida; Ixodidae. The record is from Rfam by way of RNAcentral.
GCGUUGGUGGUUCAGUGGUAGAAUACUCACCUGCUGCGCGGGUGACCCGGGUUCGAGUCCCGGCCGACGCA